UAGGGAAUAUUGGACAAUGGGCGCAAGCCUGAUCCAGCAAUGCCGCGUGUGUGAAGAAGGCCUUCGGGUUGUAAAGCACUUUUAUCAGGAGCGAAACGCUGUCGGCUAAUACCCGGCGGAACUGACGGUACCUGAGGAAUAAGCACCGGCUAACUUCGUGCCAGCAGCCGCGGUAAUACGAAGGGUGCAAGCGUUAAUCGGAAUUACUGGGCGUAAAGCGUGCGUAGGCGGGGACUUAAGUCUGCUGUGAAAUCCCCGGGCUCAACCUGGGGAUGGCAGUGGAUACUGGGUCGCUAGAGUGUUAUAGAGGAUGGUGGAAUUCCCGGUGUAGCGGUGAAAUGCGUAGAGGUCGGGGGGAACAUCAGUGGCGAAGGCGGCCAUCUGGAUCAACGCUGACGCUGAGGCACGAAAGCGUGGGGAGC
RNAcentral lists this ribosomal RNA (422 nucleotides) under uncultured bacterium. RNAcentral's name for it is "bacterial SSU rRNA". It matches the Rfam family "Bacterial small subunit ribosomal RNA", at positions 355 to 769 of the family's 1533-position model. The record is from RNAcentral.